This 70-nucleotide transfer RNA is filed under the name Blastophaga intermedia. RNAcentral's name for it is "tRNA-Leu". Lineage: Eukaryota; Metazoa; Arthropoda; Insecta; Hymenoptera; Agaonidae. The record is from RNAcentral.
UUUAUUUUAACAUGGCAGAUUAGUGCAAUAAAUUUAAGCUUUAUAUAUGUAAAUAAUUUUACUGUUAAAA